This 250-nucleotide ribosomal RNA is filed under the name uncultured Altererythrobacter sp. Its description in RNAcentral is "partial 16S ribosomal RNA". It matches the Rfam family "Bacterial small subunit ribosomal RNA", at positions 796 to 1041 of the family's 1533-position model. The record is from RNAcentral. Lineage: Bacteria; Pseudomonadati; Pseudomonadota; Alphaproteobacteria; Sphingomonadales; Erythrobacteraceae.
CACGCCGUAAACGAUGAUAACUAGCUGUCCGGGCACAUGGUGCUUGGGUGGCGCAGCUAACGCAUUAAGUUAUCCGCCUGGGGAGUACGGUCGCAAGAUUAAAACUCAAAGGAAUUGACGGGGGCCUGCACAAGCGGUGGAGCAUGUGGUUUAAUUCGAAGCAACGCGCAGAACCUUACCAGCCUUUGACAUCCUGGUCGCGGAUUUGAGAGAUCAUUUCCUUCAGUUCGGCUGGACCAGUGACAGGUGC